This 390-nucleotide ribosomal RNA is filed under the name uncultured bacterium. Its description in RNAcentral is "bacterial SSU rRNA". It matches the Rfam family "Bacterial small subunit ribosomal RNA", at positions 28 to 419 of the family's 1533-position model. The record is from RNAcentral.
GACGAACGCUGGCGGCGUGCUUAACACGUGCAAGUCGAGCGGUAAGGCCCUUUCGGGGGUACACGAGCGGCGAACGGGUGAGUAACACGUGGGUGACCUGCCCUCAGCUCUGGGAUAAGCCUGGGAAACCGGGUCUAAUACUGGAUAUGACUCCAUGACGCAUGUUGUGGGGUGGAAAGCCUUGUGCGGCUGAGGAUGGGCCCGCGGCCUAUCAGCUUGUUGGUGGGGUGANGGCCUACCAAGGCGACGACGGGUAGCCGGCCUGAGAGGGCGACCGGCCACACUGGGACUGAGACACGGCCCAGACUCCUACGGGAGGCAGCAGUGGGGAAUCUUGCGCAAUGGGCGAAAGCCUGACGCAGCGACGCCGCGUGAGGGAUGACGGCCUGG